GGGUUGUGAGGUUAAGCGACUAAGCGUACACGGUGGAUGCCCUGGCAGUCAGAGGCGAUGAAGGACGUGCUAAUCUGCGAUAAGCGUCGGUAAGGUGAUAUGAACCGUUAUAACCGGCGAUUUCCGAAUGGGGAAACCCAGUGUGUUUCGACACACUAUCAUUAACUGAAUCCAUAGGUUAAUGAGGCGAACCGGGGGAACUGAAACAUCUAAGUACCCCGAGGAAAAGAAAUCAACCGAGAUUCCCCCAGUAGCGGCGAGCGAACGGGGAGCAGCCCAGAGCCUGAAUCAGUGUGUGUGUUAGUGGAAGCGUCUGGAAAGGCGCGCGAUACAGGGUGACAGCCCCGUACACAAAAAUGCACAUGCUGUGAGCUCGAUGAGUAGGGCGGGACACGUGGUAUCCUGUCUGAAUAUGGGGGGACCAUCCUCCAAGGCUAAAUACUCCUGACUGACCGAUAGUGAACCAGUACCGUGAGGGAAAGGCGAAAAGAACCCCGGCGAGGGGAGUGAAAAAGAACCUGAAACCGUGUACGUACAAGCAGUGGGAGCACGCUUCGGCGUGUGACUGCGUACCUUUUGUAUAAUGGGUCAGCGACUUAUAUUCUGUAGCAAGGUUAACCGAAUAGGGGAGCCGAAGGGAAACCGAGUCUUAACUGGGCGUUAAGUUGCAGGGUAUAGACCCGAAACCCGGUGAUCUAGCCAUGGGCAGGUUGAAGGUUGGGUAACACUAACUGGAGGACCGAACCGACUAAUGUUGAAAAAUUAGCGGAUGACUUGUGGCUGGGGGUGAAAGGCCAAUCAAACCGGGAGAUAGCUGGUUCUCCCCGAAAGCUAUUUAGGUAGCGCCUCGUGAAUUCAUCUCCGGGGGUAGAGCACUGUUUCGGCAAGGGGGUCAUCCCGACUUACCAACCCGAUGCAAACUGCGAAUACCGGAGAAUGUUAUCACGGGAGACACACGGCGGGUGCUAACGUCCGUCGUGAAGAGGGAAACAACCCAGACCGCCAGCUAAGGUCCCAAAGUCAUGGUUAAGUGGGAAACGAUGUGGGAAGGCCCAGACAGCCAGGAUGUUGGCUUAGAAGCAGCCAUCAUUUAAAGAAAGCGUAAUAGCUCACUGGUCGAGUCGGCCUGCGCGGAAGAUGUAACGGGGCUAAACCAUGCACCGAAGCUGCGGCAGCGACGCUUAUGCGUUGUUGGGUAGGGGAGCGUUCUGUAAGCCUGUGAAGGUGUGCUGUGAGGCAUGCUGGAGGUAUCAGAAGUGCGAAUGCUGACAUAAGUAACGAUAAAGCGGGUGAAAAGCCCGCUCGCCGGAAGACCAAGGGUUCCUGUCCAACGUUAAUCGGGGCAGGGUGAGUCGACCCCUAAGGCGAGGCCGAAAGGCGUAGUCGAUGGGAAACAGGUUAAUAUUCCUGUACUUGGUGUUACUGCGAAGGGGGGACGGAGAAGGCUAUGUUGGCCGGGCGACGGUUGUCCCGGUUUAAGCGUGUAGGCUGGUUUUCCAGGCAAAUCCGGAAAAUCAAGGCUGAGGCGUGAUGACGAGGCACUACGGUGCUGAAGCAACAAAUGCCCUGCUUCCAGGAAAAGCCUCUAAGCAUCAGGUAACAUCAAAUCGUACCCCAAACCGACACAGGUGGUCAGGUAGAGAAUACCAAGGCGCUUGAGAGAACUCGGGUGAAGGAACUAGGCAAAAUGGUGCCGUAACUUCGGGAGAAGGCACGCUGAUAUGUAGGUGAGGUCCCUCGCGGAUGGAGCUGAAAUCAGUCGAAGAUACCAGCUGGCUGCAACUGUUUAUUAAAAACACAGCACUGUGCAAACACGAAAGUGGACGUAUACGGUGUGACGCCUGCCCGGUGCCGGAAGGUUAAUUGAUGGGGUUAGCGCAAGCGAAGCUCUUGAUCGAAGCCCCGGUAAACGGCGGCCGUAACUAUAACGGUCCUAAGGUAGCGAAAUUCCUUGUCGGGUAAGUUCCGACCUGCACGAAUGGCGUAAUGAUGGCCAGGCUGUCUCCACCCGAGACUCAGUGAAAUUGAACUCGCUGUGAAGAUGCAGUGUACCCGCGGCAAGACGGAAAGACCCCGUGAACCUUUACUAUAGCUUGACACUGAACAUUGAGCCUUGAUGUGUAGGAUAGGUGGGAGGCUUUGAAGUGUGGACGCCAGUCUGCAUGGAGCCGACCUUGAAAUACCACCCUUUAAUGUUUGAUGUUCUAACGUUGACCCCUAAUCGGGGUUGCGGACAGUGUCUGGUGGGUAGUUUGACUGGGGCGGUCUCCUCCUAAAGAGUAACGGAGGAGCACGAAGGUUGGCUAAUCCUGGUCGGACAUCAGGAGGUUAGUGCAAUGGCAUAAGCCAGCUUGACUGCGAGCGUGACGGCGCGAGCAGGUGCGAAAGCAGGUCAUAGUGAUCCGGUGGUUCUGAAUGGAAGGGCCAUCGCUCAACGGAUAAAAGGUACUCCGGGGAUAACAGGCUGAUACCGCCCAAGAGUUCAUAUCGACGGCGGUGUUUGGCACCUCGAUGUCGGCUCAUCACAUCCUGGGGCUGAAGUAGGUCCCAAGGGUAUGGCUGUUCGCCAUUUAAAGUGGUACGCGAGCUGGGUUUAGAACGUCGUGAGACAGUUCGGUCCCUAUCUGCCGUGGGCGCUGGAGAACUGAGGGGGGCUGCUCCUAGUACGAGAGGACCGGAGUGGACGCAUCACUGGUGUUCGGGUUGUCAUGCCAAUGGCACUGCCCGGUAGCUAAAUGCGGAAGAGAUAAGUGCUGAAAGCAUCUAAGCACGAAACUUGCCCCGAGAUGAGUUCUCCCUGACCCUUUAAGGGUCCUGAAGGAACGUUGAAGACGACGACGUUGAUAGGCCGGGUGUGUAAGCGCAGCGAUGCGUUGAGCUAACCGGUACUAAUGAACCGUGAGGCUUAACCUUACAACGCCGAAGGUGUUU
Molecule: ribosomal RNA, 2931 nt
Filed under: Escherichia coli
Lineage: Bacteria; Pseudomonadati; Pseudomonadota; Gammaproteobacteria; Enterobacterales; Enterobacteriaceae
Description: 23S ribosomal RNA
Rfam family: Bacterial large subunit ribosomal RNA
Source: RNAcentral